CGAAGGAAAAAGAGACUUCGGGCAAGAGGAGGAUCUAGGGGAGAAGAGGAAGAGAGGGAGAGAGAGAGAGACUGUGGAGAGCAAAAAACCAGAACGAGAGAGAAACUAGAAAAAGGAAAACCCAGAAAAAGAGAGGAAGAGGGUUUUGGGAAAAGAGAGAAAAAAAGAAGAGAAAAGAAAAAGAGGAAAAGAAAGAGAGGAAGGAAGAAUCUGGGGGAGAGGGGAGAUCGAGUGAGAAGAAACGAAAAAAGUUGCAGCAGAAGUUUUCGUCAUCAGGCUGACGAACUAGCCUGAUUUGGAGCCAAAUUUCUUCUUCGAUUGUGGAUUUUUGAUCGAUCUUUUGGCUUCUAAGCUUUCUUGGGAGACAACAUAAGAAGUUUCAUUACAAAUCUCUUGGAACAAACAGCUAUAAGUUGGUCAGAUCGAGGCUCAAAAUAGCGACUUCAUCAUCACUGAAACCUUCUGUAACAUAAGUUCUUGGGUUUCGUUUUCCAUAACAGCUCGGUUUCUUGAAGCAUCUCAAGUUCGUUUAGCGGUUCUAGUGCUCUCAGGUAAUCAUGGAUUCUUCUCAAUGUAGAUUUAAGACAAAUUUAAAAGAGAUUUGAGCCCCUUGUGCAUGAUUUUUUUUUUCUUUUCUAAGUUUUGUCGUUGCCAAUGGUUGAUGACUGUGGUUAGACUUGGUGCCGUUGUUGUGCUGUUGAUGAGCUUGAAGCUGGUCCCUUUGUUCAUUUAACGUGUAUCUAAAACUAUGAAUGCAAUUUAGAAGCCAUGAACACCUCUUGUGUUUAGUAAUCCGUAUACGUAAUCAUCUCACCUCUUGUGUAUAUGUAAUCUGUAUAGUUAAUGAACUAAAGGUUGUACUUUUGGUCCAUGUUUAUGUGUGUAAUCUGCGUCUGAGAACUCUUAGGAAUGUAAAGUAUAGGAUUCGAGUUUGUGCAAUGUGUUGUCUUGGCUUGAAAGUUUGAUGCUUGCUUGGAUGUUGGUUUCCUCUGUUUGACAUGAAACCAGAAACUGGUGGAAAGUUUUUUGAAUAAACCUGUAAUUUGCAAGCUUUUCCUCAUUCUAGAUUUUCCUUUCUCUUGUAUGCAUAACAUGGUAUCUUGAUGAUGAGCUUAUGGAACUUAAUGAGAACUUGAGGGUUGGAUCCUUGUUGUUGUUAAAAUUUUUUUGCCGCAUAAGGUUGCUGAAGUUCCAAAGCAUCAGGAGUUGCAGAAACUCCUCUUCGAUACUUGCAUGGGAAAAUCAUAAAAUAUUGUGUUUUGACCCCCGGGUUGUUGCUUAAUUCUACUAUAGCCCAAAAAUAUGGAAAAUUAAUCAAUUUUACCGUUUUUGAAAUUCAAUCAUCUUCUCAUGAUUUAACCAUGUUUUAAGUAAGUUUAUUUUCUGGUUUUAGGAGAUAAUUAGUAGAACUCCAUUAAUUUUUAAAGCUUUAUUUUUGACUUCUAAUCUUAGCAAUAAUACUAAUUUGAUGCUUAAAACUUUUAUAAUUAUUUCAAUUAGGUCCUUGCUUGUUUUAAUUUCUUAAAUAUAGGUUGUUUACUUUCAUUUAAAUGCUUUAAUUGUUCAAUUUCAUGACCAUUUCCACUUCUUUACAUAUUAUUGCUCAUAUUUGUUAAUUAAAAUGGUACAUUGACUACUUUGUUGAUUUUUGGAGCUUUAAAUAGGGUAAAUCUAAACCCAAUUAGCUACUACUUCAAGAGGAGGUAUUUUCUUUUAUUGGUUAAAAAUCCUAUGUGCUCCUAUGUGAUUUUAUGUGUGUAAUUGCAUGUUUUUUGAAUAUUUUUUUUUUAUUUUAUUUCAUUUAUUUAUUUA
Molecule: long non-coding RNA, 1812 nt
Filed under: Coffea arabica (coffee)
Lineage: Eukaryota; Viridiplantae; Streptophyta; Magnoliopsida; Gentianales; Rubiaceae
Description: long non-coding RNA (CARA_LNC002244)
Source: RNAcentral